CAUCAGAGACCAGGACCUGGACCCAGCUGUGUGUCCAUGAACAGUAACCGGUCUAUGGAGCCUCCUCUACUCUUCAAAGACGUUGAUCCGUCUGUUGAUACAAGUUCACAUCAGCAGAGAGGAAAGUCUCCUGAACCCAGAUGUUUGUCCAUGAAGAGUGAUUGGUCUAUGGGUCGAUGGUUUAACUUCAACGAUGGACGCCGUUCUUAUGACACAGAAGAGGACCAGGAGAGCUCAGAGGUUCCCACAGGUCCGUCUGCCCAGCAGC
Gasterosteus aculeatus aculeatus (three-spined stickleback) is the source of this 268-nucleotide non-coding RNA. The record is from RefSeq and is a predicted model, not a curated record. Lineage: Eukaryota; Metazoa; Chordata; Actinopteri; Perciformes; Gasterosteidae.